RNAcentral lists this long non-coding RNA (633 nucleotides) under Hordeum vulgare. RNAcentral describes it as "long non-coding RNA (HVUL_LNC006173)". The record is from RNAcentral. Lineage: Eukaryota; Viridiplantae; Streptophyta; Magnoliopsida; Poales; Poaceae.
GGAUGAUAUAACUCCAAUCAAGAUCGAAAACUUUGAUUGAUGUGCAGAGGAAACAAUCGUAGCAUCAGCUUACAUUUUCUUUCAGAACUUGGCUUCUUAAUGUAAUGCUGUCUUGUGGCUGUGUAACUGUUUACGUGUGUUUACAGUACUGUUUAUGUGUUUUACGGUAUGUCUCUUCAAACAUUUGUUUUGGAUUAUAUGAAAGAGAACGACAUGCCCCGUCCGUAUUGUGUAUGCCCACCGUGAUGUUUUCUACUUGCACCAACAGGCCUUCGGAGCCGCACCUCAAUCAAUCUCAGCAUGGCUCUGAGAUCGAUAUGGCCAUGGUUGGCGCGGAUGGUCUCUGGCAGACCAUGGGCUGAAUUCAACAUACAAGUAUCAUCGGACUCAAUGGCCAUCUACAAAGUAGCCACCAAGUGCACCAUCGCCGAAGGUUUCACAACUCUAUUCUGGACAGAUCGGUGGCUUUGGGAGGGCCGCAUAUCCAGGAUAUCAUGCCCAGCUUAUCAGGUGUAGUCAAGAAGAACGUGAUUAAGGUCCGGAUGGUGAACCAUGUUAUUUCAGGAGAGUGGUGGCGCGAGGUAUCGCCCAAUAUGACCGCCCAGGAAAUUCAUGAAUUCCUCAAAUUGGUCA